Molecule: ribosomal RNA, 1178 nt
Filed under: Pedinomonas minor
Lineage: Eukaryota; Viridiplantae; Chlorophyta; Pedinophyceae; Pedinomonadales; Pedinomonadaceae
Description: mt SSU rrNA
Rfam family: Bacterial small subunit ribosomal RNA
Source: RNAcentral
UAAAUUUGGCUCUAGUUUGAAAAUAAAUUUUUUAUACAAAUAACACAUGCAAACACAAUUUAAUUAUUGUGUGUACGGGUGAGUUAAAAAAAUUGAAUUAAUAUUCAAUUUUAGAUAUUAUGGAUAAUUUUGAAUAAAUUUUCGAAGAUAUUAAGGUGUUAACCCACAUCAGAAUUUUCUGAGUUUAUAUUUAUAAUCCAGCAGUGUAAAACAUUAGACAAUAAGUAUAGGCUUGAUCUAGUGAUAUAAAAAAAAGUUUAAGUAUUUAUUUUAAAUUUUUUUAUUAAUUUUAUAAUGAAUGAUUAAUAAAAGUUCAAUCUAAUUAUGUGCCAGCAGAUGCGGUGAAACAUAAUGAGCAAAUUUAUUUUAUUAAAUAGGUUUAAAUUAUACAAAAGUGGUUUUGUUUAUUUUUUUUUAAAUUUUGAAAUUUAAUUUAAUAAAAUAAAACUAGAAAAUAAUUAAUAUCAAAAAUUAAUAAUUUAGGUAAUAGUAAAAUGUUUUAAUCUAAAUUCGAAAACUAAAAGUUAUUCUUUUUUGAUUCUUAUUUUGACACUGUCGUAUGAAAGCUUGGGGAUCAAAAAAGAUUAGACACCUUCGUAGUCCAAGCUGUCAAUAAAGGUUUUUUAUAAAUAUCCUUUUAUUUAUAUCUUGAAAAAAUUAAAACUAACCUGAAGAGUACGAUCACACGAUUGAAAUUCAAAGAGCUUGACGGAAUUUAAGACCAAUUGUGGCACAUGUUGUUUAAUGUGAUACGACACGUUUAUUUUAUCAAAAUUUUUAUUUAUUAAAAAGGUGUUGCGGGGUUGUCCAAAUUUUCUAUAUUAAUUACUAAGAUUAAAUGUUUUAAAGUACAAUAAUGCAAAUUUUCCUGGCCCUUAUAUUUUGAGAUAAGACUUGUGACAUUAAUUCAUAACGAAUUAUAAUUUGGUUAGUAUUGAAAAAUAUUAACUAAAUCGGAAUAAUUAGUAAAAUAAAACAAUUAUUGUUUAUUUGAAAAUUCGGCUUAAAUUUGUACACACUGCUCGUCACAUGUCGAAAUUUAUUUAUAUCUUAAAUAUUAAUUACUAAAUUUUAUAUUUAUUAAAAUUUUUCUAUUAAUCUGAAUUCUAUAAAUAAUGAUUGAGAUGAAGUCGAAACAUGGUGGUUGUAGUGGAAGCUGCAGCUGAGUUUUUUAAAAA